CCUACGGGUGGCAGCAGUGGGGAAUAUUGGACAAUGGGCGAAAGCCUGAUCCAGCCAUGCCGCGUGUGUGAAGAAGGCCUUCGGGUUGUAAAGCACUUUCAGUGGGGAAGAAAGCCUUGGGGCUAAUACCCUCGAGGAAGGACAUCACCCACAGAAGAAGCACCGGCUAACUCCGUGCCAGCAGCCGCGGUAAUACGGAGGGUGCGAGCGUUAAUCGGAAUUACUGGGCGUAAAGCGCGCGUAGGCGGUCUGAUAAGCCGGUUGUGAAAGCCCGGGGCUCAACCUGGGAACGGCAUCCGGAACUGUCAGGCUAGAGUGCAGGAGAGGAAGGUAGAAUUCCCGGUGUAGCGGUGAAAUGCGUAGAGAUCGGGAGGAAUACCAGUGGCGAAGGCGGCCUUCUGGACUGACACUGACGCUGAGGUGCGAAAGCGUGGGUAGCAAACAGGAUUAGAUACCCGUGUAGUC
Molecule: ribosomal RNA, 465 nt
Filed under: Vreelandella stevensii
Lineage: Bacteria; Pseudomonadati; Pseudomonadota; Gammaproteobacteria; Oceanospirillales; Halomonadaceae
Description: partial 16S ribosomal RNA
Rfam family: Bacterial small subunit ribosomal RNA
Source: RNAcentral